GUGCCAGCCGCCGCGGUAAUACCGGCAGCUCGAGUGAUGUCCAAUAUUAUUGGGCCUAAAGCGUCCGUAGCUGGCCGCGCAAGUCCGUCGGGAAAUCCACCUGCCCAACAGGUGGGCGUCCGGCGGAAACUGCACAGCUUGGGACCGGAAGGCUCGAAGGGUACGUUCGGGGUAGGAGUGAAAUCCCAUAAUCCCGCACGGACCACCGAUGGCGAAAGCACUUCGAGAAAACGGAUCCGACAGUGAGGGACGAAAGCCAGGGUCUCCAACCGGAUUAGAAACCCUUGUAGUCC
RNAcentral lists this ribosomal RNA (293 nucleotides) under uncultured bacterium. Its description in RNAcentral is "partial 16S ribosomal RNA". It matches the Rfam family "Archaeal small subunit ribosomal RNA", at positions 455 to 747 of the family's 1478-position model. The record is from RNAcentral.